GCCGGUCAGGGUCUUCACCAAGAUCUGCAUCCCACCUCUGAGACGCUGCACCAGGUGCAGGGUGGACUCCUUCUGGAUGUUGUAGUCAGACAGGGUGCGCCCAUCUUCCAGCUGCUUGCCGGCAAAGAUCAACCUCUGCUGGUCGGGGGGGAUGCCCUCCUUGUCUUGGAUCUUCGCC
This is a non-coding RNA of Marmota flaviventris (yellow-bellied marmot), 178 nucleotides long. The record is from RefSeq and is a predicted model, not a curated record. Lineage: Eukaryota; Metazoa; Chordata; Mammalia; Rodentia; Sciuridae.